GAGCUUCCGUUGAAUGACGUGCUUGCACUGAUUUCAACAAUGAAGCGAGUGGCGAACUGGUGAGUAACACGUGGGGAAUCUGCCCAGAAGCAGGGGAUAACACUUGGAAACAGGUGCUAAUACCGUAUAACAACAAAAUCCGCAUGGAUUUUGUUUGAAAGGUGGCUUCGGCUAUCACUUCUGGAUGAUCCCGCGGCGUAUUAGUUAGUUGGUGAGGUAAAGGCCCACCAAGACGAUGAUACGUAGCCGACCUGAGAGGGUAAUCGGCCACAUUGGGACUGAGACACGGCCCAAACUCCUACGGGAGGCAGCAGUAGGGAAUCUUCCACAAUGGACGAAAGUCUGAUGGAGCAAUGCCGCGUGAGUGAAGAAGGGUUUCGGCUCGUAAAACUCUGUUGUUAAAGAAGAACACCUUUGAGAGUAACUGUUCAAGGGUUGACGGUAUUUAACCAGAAAGCCACGGCUAACUACGUGCCAGCAGCCGCGGUAAUACGUAGGUGGCAAGCGUUGUCCGGAUUUAUUGGGCGUAAAGCGAGCGCAGGCGGUUUUUUAAGUCUGAUGUGAAAGCCUUCGGCUUAACCGGAGAAG
Molecule: ribosomal RNA, 588 nt
Filed under: Levilactobacillus brevis
Lineage: Bacteria; Bacillati; Bacillota; Bacilli; Lactobacillales; Lactobacillaceae
Description: bacterial SSU rRNA
Rfam family: Bacterial small subunit ribosomal RNA
Source: RNAcentral